UCCAAGAUGAGCGAGGUGAGUGAGUGAGUGAAUCACGGCGGUUGUCAAUGCAGCAGACGCACCAGUGACUGCAGCGUGGACACACAGGGGAGGCCAACAGCAGCCAAACGUCCGCCACAGACAACAAAGAAAAGGCAUCUGACUCUGC
Long non-coding RNA from Sinocyclocheilus anshuiensis, 148 nucleotides. RefSeq lists it as uncharacterized. Lineage: Eukaryota; Metazoa; Chordata; Actinopteri; Cypriniformes; Cyprinidae. The record is from RefSeq and is a predicted model, not a curated record. The transcript is spliced from 3 exons.